This 209-nucleotide ribosomal RNA is filed under the name Agaricus bisporus (cultivated mushroom). RNAcentral's name for it is "5.8S ribosomal RNA". The stretch from base 32 to 185 matches the Rfam family "5.8S ribosomal RNA". From Rfam's summary of the family: 5.8S ribosomal RNA (5.8S rRNA) is a component of the large subunit of the eukaryotic ribosome. It is transcribed by RNA polymerase I as part of the 45S precursor that also contains 18S and 28S rRNA. Functionally, it is thought that 5.8S rRNA may be involved in ribosome translocation. The record is from RNAcentral. Lineage: Eukaryota; Fungi; Basidiomycota; Agaricomycetes; Agaricales; Agaricaceae.
ACAUGGGCUAUGCCUAUGAAAAUUAUUAUACAACUUUCAGCAACGGAUCUCUUGGCUCUCGCAUCGAUGAAGACCGCAGCGAAAUGCGAUAAGUAAUGUGAAUUGCAGAAUUCAGUGAAUCAUCGAAUCUUUGAACGCAUCUUGCGCUCCUUGGUAUUCCGAGGAGCAUGCCUGUUUGAGUGUCAUUAUAUUCUCAACUCUCCAAUACU